Molecule: ribosomal RNA, 131 nt
Filed under: Propithecus coquereli (Coquerel's sifaka)
Lineage: Eukaryota; Metazoa; Chordata; Mammalia; Primates; Indriidae
Source: RNAcentral
GUCUACCGCCACACUACCCUGAACACACCUGAUCUCGUCUGAUCUUGGAAGCUAAGCAGGGUCAGGCCUGGUUAGUACUGGGAUGGGAGAAAAGGGAUGUGCUUCCUCCGCACCUCCAGCCCAGGGAGAAA